GUCUACGGCCAUACCACCCUGAACGCACCCGAUCUCGUCUGAUCUCAGAAGCUAAGCAGGGUCGGGCCUGGUUAGUAUUUGGAUGGGAGAAGCCACAGGCUGGGAGAAA
Mustela putorius furo (domestic ferret) is the source of this 109-nucleotide ribosomal RNA. The record is from Ensembl. NCBI's taxonomy places the organism in Eukaryota, Metazoa, Chordata, Mammalia, Carnivora, Mustelidae.